AUAUAAAUACAUGUAAUUAACCAUCUCAUAUCUAAUAUUUCAUCAUGUGUUUAUAUAAACAUAAGAAACAAUACACCGAUCAUAAGUCAUCUGUUUUCCUCAUGGCGCUCAGCAAAACCAACCCAAGGAUGUUCAACUUGGUUGUUAUUGCUUUCAUGCUCACGGCCAUCGUGUCUUCGACGUUACCUUCCUGCCAAGCAUAUUUAGACCCUUGCAAACGAAUAGCAGAAUGUACUAUCGGGUUGUGCAUGAAGGAUUGCGAAGCAAGACUCUAUAAACUACCUUAUGAAUUGCAGUGUAAAACAUUCCAAGGUCAUCCGGAGUGUUGUUGUACACAACUUUAGAUAGGUUAUAUGUUACAAUAAUGAUAGUGUCACAGAUUCUCAACUUAUGGUUCAAUAAUGUCGAUGAAUGCAUGAUGUCCUGAGCAUGUAAUGUAUCAUGCUAAUGCAAAUAAUGAAUAAAUUUAUAUUUUCUAAUAAA
Molecule: non-coding RNA, 483 nt
Organism: Lolium perenne
Lineage: Eukaryota; Viridiplantae; Streptophyta; Magnoliopsida; Poales; Poaceae
Source: RefSeq, a predicted model, not a curated record